This 254-nucleotide ribosomal RNA is filed under the name uncultured bacterium. RNAcentral describes it as "partial 16S ribosomal RNA". It matches the Rfam family "Bacterial small subunit ribosomal RNA", at positions 524 to 776 of the family's 1533-position model. The record is from RNAcentral.
GACGUAGGGCGCGAGCGUUGUCCGGAUUUAUUGGGCGUAAAGAGCUCGUAGGCGGUUCGGCAAGUCGGGUGUGAAAUUUCGAGGCUCAACCUCGAAACGCCACUCGAUACUGCUGUGACUGGAGUCCGGUAGAGGAGUGCGGAAUUCCUGGUGUAGCGGUGAAAUGCGCAGAUAUCAGGAGGAACACCAACGGCGAAGGCAGCACUCUGGGCCGGUACUGACGCUGAGGAGCGAAAGCGUGGGGAGCAAACAGG